AAUAAGUGCAGUUUUACAUUAUUCACGUUCAACGUUUGACCGUUUAUCUUAUUUGAAAAUUUUUUAUUAUUAAUAUUUUUAUUGCUAUUAGAUGAUAAAACAUAAAUAGUGCUUUAUGUGUGACUAAAUAUUUUCAAAUUUUUCGCAAAUUUUUGAAAUAAGACAGAUGGUCAAACGUUGGGUACGGAUAUCCACGACUGUAAUUGUU
RNAcentral lists this microRNA precursor (208 nucleotides) under Oryza rufipogon (brownbeard rice). RNAcentral's name for it is "MIR812 microRNA precursor family". It matches the Rfam family "MIR812 microRNA precursor family". The record is from Rfam by way of RNAcentral. Lineage: Eukaryota; Viridiplantae; Streptophyta; Magnoliopsida; Poales; Poaceae.